Molecule: transfer RNA, 74 nt
Filed under: Pirellulaceae bacterium
Lineage: Bacteria; Pseudomonadati; Planctomycetota; Planctomycetia; Pirellulales; Pirellulaceae
Description: tRNA-Pro
Rfam family: tRNA
About the family: Transfer RNA (tRNA) molecules are approximately 80 nucleotides in length. Their secondary structure includes four short double-helical elements and three loops (D, anti-codon, and T loops).
Source: RNAcentral
CGGAGUGUAGCUCAGCAUGGUAGAGCGCUACGUUCGGGACGUAGAGGUCGCAAGUUCGAAUCUUGUCACUCCGA